UGAAUACGAGAUGCUACGGCGUCGAAGCAGUGUAUGUCAGACUUCCAAGAAAAGCUCGCAAUGUCAUAAAUAAAGAAUGCCUGUACCAUAACCGACACAGGUGGGUAGGUAGAGUAUACUAAGGGGCGCGAGAUAACUCUCUCUAAGGAACUCGGCAAAAUAACUCCGUAGCUUCGGGAGAAGGAGUGCCUUCUUUAAGAAGGCUGCAAUAACAAGAUCCAAGCAACUGUUUAUCAAAAACACAGGUCUCCGCUAAGUCGUAAGACGAUGUAUGGGGGCUGACGCCUGCCCAGUGCCAGAAGGUUAAAGAAGUUGGUUAGCUUUUGCGAAGCUGAUGACUGAAGCCCUGGUGAACGGCGGCCGUAACAAUAACGGUCCUAAGGUAGCGAAAUUCCUUGUCGGGUAAGUUCCGACCCGCACGGAAGGCGUAAUGAUUUGGAUACUGUCUCGGAGAGGGACUCGGUGAAAUAGACUUGUCUGUGAAGAUGCGGACUACCUGCACCAGGACAGAAAGACCCUAUGAAGCUUUACUGUAACUUGAAAUUGAAAUUGGACUUUAUUUGCGCAGUAUAGGUGGAAGGCGUUGAAAGUAAUCUUGCGGGAUUAGUGGAGCCAUCAGUGAGAUACCACUCCUAUAAUGCUAGAUUUCUAACUUUGGAUCAUGAUCUGGUCAAAGAACAGUUUCAGGCGGGCAGUUUGACUGGGGCGGUCGCCUCCCAAAUGGUAACGGAGGCGUACAAAGGUUUCCUCUGAACGGGUAGAAAUCGUAUCUAGAGUGUAAAGGCAUAAGGAAGCUUGACUGUGAGACCUACAAGUCGAGCAGGGACGAAAGUCGGUCUUAGUGAUCUGACGGUGCUGAGUGGAAAGGCCGUCACUCAACGGAUAAAAGUUACUCUAGGGAUAACAGGCUGAUCUCCCCCAAGAGUUCACAUCGACGGGGAGGUUUGGCACCUCGAUGUCGGCUCAUCGCAUCCUGGGGCGGUAGUACGUCCCAAGGGUUGGGCUGUUCGCCCAUGAAAGCGGUACGCGAGCUGGGUUCAGAACGUCGUGAAACAGUUCGGUCCAUAUCCGGUGUAGGCGUUAGAAUAUUGAGAGGAGCCUUCUUUAGUACGAGAGGACCGAGAAGGACAUACCACUGGUGUACCAGUUAUCGUGCCAACGGUAAACGCUGGGUAGCUAUGUAUGGAGAGGAUAACCGCUGAAAGCAUCUAAGUGGGAAGCCCACCUCAAGAUGAG
RNAcentral lists this ribosomal RNA (1236 nucleotides) under metagenome. RNAcentral's name for it is "bacterial LSU rRNA". It matches the Rfam family "Bacterial large subunit ribosomal RNA", at positions 1564 to 2808 of the family's 2925-position model. The record is from RNAcentral.